UUAAAUGAGAAAUUCAACUACUAAAGUGGAACUUACAUAGAACAUUUUUCCUUGGAAUUGAAAGUUAUUCUCUUUUUUUAUAUGCCUGCAUACAUUAAACAUCUAAAUUGCUAACUGCCAUACAACACGUAUGGUUUUGGUUAAAUCAGCUAUUUAGCUUGAGACCCACGACCUUAUUAUUUUAUAUACUUUUAUAAUGUAAUAACUAAAACA
This is a non-coding RNA of Cinara cedri, 213 nucleotides long. The record is from the annotation of a GenBank genome assembly. Lineage: Eukaryota; Metazoa; Arthropoda; Insecta; Hemiptera; Aphididae.